GACGAACGCUGGCGGCGUGCUUAACACAUGCAAGUCGAACGGAAAGGCCCUGCUUUUGUGGGGUGCUCGAGUGGCGAACGGGUGAGUAACACGUGAGUAACCUGCCCUUGACUUUGGGAUAACUUCAGGAAACUGGGGCUAAUACCGGAUAGGAGCUCCUGCUGCAUGGUGGGGGUUGGAAAGUUUCGGCGGUUGGGGAUGGACUCGCGGCCUAUCAGCUUGUUGGUGGGGUAGUGGCUUACCAAGGCUUUGACGGGUAGCCGGCCUGAGAGGGUGACCGGCCACAUUGGGACAGAGAUACGGCCCAGACUCCUACGGGAGGCAGCAGUGGGGAAUAUUGCACAAUGGGCGGAAGCCUGAUGCAGCAACGCCGCGUGCGGGAUGACGGCCUUCGGGUUGUAAACCGCUUUCGCCUGUGACGAAGCGUGAGUGACGGUAAUGGGUAAAGAAGCACCGGCUAACUACGUGCCAGCAGCCGCGGUGAUACGUAGGGUGCGAGCGUUGUCCGGAUUUAUUGGGCGUAAAGGGCUCGUAGGUGGUUGAUCGCGUCGGAAGUGUAAUCUUGGGGCUUAACCCUGAGCGUGCUUUCGAUACGGGUUGACUUGAGGAAGGUAGGGGAGAAUGGAAUUCCUGGUGGAGCGGUGGAAUGCGCAGAUAUCAGGAGGAACACCAGUGGCGAAGGCGGUUCUCUGGGCCUUUCCUGACGCUGAGGAGCGAAAGCGUGGGGAGCGAACAGGCUUAGAUACCCUGGUAGUCCACGCUGUAAACGGUGGGUACUAGGUGUGGGGUCCAUUCCACGGGUUCCGUGCCGUAGCUAACGCUUUAAGUACCCCGCCUGGGGAGUACGGCCGCAAGGCUAAAACUCAAAGGAAUUGACGGGGCCCCGCACAAGCGGCGGAGCAUGCGGAUUAAUUCGAUGCAACGCGUAGAACCUUACCUGGGUUUGACAUGGGUCGGGAGUGCUCAGAGAUGGGUGUGCCUCUUUUGGGGUCGGUUCACAGGUGGUGCAUGGCUGUCGUCAGCUCGUGUCGUGAGAUGUUGGGUUAAGUCCCGCAACGAGCGCAACCCUUGUUCACUGUUGCCAGCACGUUAUGGUGGGGACUCAGUGGAGACCGCCGGGGUCAACUCGGAGGAAGGUGGGGAUGACGUCAAGUCAUCAUGCCCCUUAUGUCCAGGGCUUCACGCAUGCUACAAUGGCUGGUACAGAGAGUGGCGAGCCUGUGAGGGUGAGCGAAUCUCGGAAAGCCGGUCUCAGUUCGGAUUGGGGUCUGCAACUCGACCUCAUGAAGUCGGAGUCGCUAGUAAUCGCAGAUCAGCAACGCUGCGGUGAAUACGUUCCCGGG
Molecule: ribosomal RNA, 1343 nt
Filed under: uncultured bacterium
Lineage: Bacteria
Description: 16S ribosomal RNA
Rfam family: Bacterial small subunit ribosomal RNA
Source: RNAcentral